UCCUACUUCCUACCUAACCUUUCCAUUAUUAGAUAACUCUACUAGGCCCGGAUCCAACAACACUAACACAAAAAAGAUAGGUACAAACUUCAAUUGAUGGUCACAAUCUCCAUCAAUAUUUUGUAUCUGAACUUAUUUUCAACCACAUGCAACAUUUUUGCACAAUAGCUUCAUUCAAUUCAACAAAUGUGUGGCCAUUUUUCAGCUACCAAUUAUUUAUUUAUUUUUUUGGUUUUAGCAAGUUGCAAUAGAUAUCAUCCAUCA
RNAcentral lists this long non-coding RNA (264 nucleotides) under Medicago truncatula (barrel medic). RNAcentral describes it as "lncRNA gene28796". Lineage: Eukaryota; Viridiplantae; Streptophyta; Magnoliopsida; Fabales; Fabaceae. The record is from RNAcentral.